UGAUUUGAAGAGCUUGCUCAGAUAUGACGAUGGACAUUGCAAAGAGUGGCGAACGGGUGAGUAACACGUGGGAAACCUACCUCUUAGCAGGGGAUAACAUUUGGAAACAGAUGCUAAUACCGUAUAACAAUAGCAACCGCAUGGUUGCUACUUAAAAGAUGGUUCUGCUAUCACUAAGAGAUGGUCCCGCGGUGCAUUAGUUAGUUGGUGAGGUAAUGGCUCACCAAGACGAUGAUGCAUAGCCGAGUUGAGAGACUGAUCCGCCACAAUGGGACUGACACACCGCCCAUACUCCUACGGGACGCAGCAGUAGGGAAUCUUCCACAAUGGGCGAAAGCCUGAUGGAGCAACGCCGCGUGUGUGAUGAAGGGUUUCGGCUCGUAAAACACUGUUGUAAGAGAAGAAUGACAUUGAGAGUAACUGUUCAAUGUGUGACGGUAUCUUACCAGAAAGGAACCGCUAAAUACGUGCCAGCAGCCGCGGUAAUACCUAUUUUCCAACCUUUAUCCCUAUUUAUUUCCCCUAAACCCACCCCACACCUUUAUUUAAU
This 550-nucleotide ribosomal RNA is filed under the name Weissella cibaria. Its description in RNAcentral is "bacterial SSU rRNA". It matches the Rfam family "Bacterial small subunit ribosomal RNA", at positions 70 to 546 of the family's 1533-position model. Lineage: Bacteria; Bacillati; Bacillota; Bacilli; Lactobacillales; Lactobacillaceae. The record is from RNAcentral.